This is an RNA transcript of Glycine soja, 1354 nucleotides long. It is a transcript of the gene named serine/arginine-rich splicing factor SR45a-like, with no coding region annotated. The transcript has 10 exons. The record is from RefSeq and is a predicted model, not a curated record. Lineage: Eukaryota; Viridiplantae; Streptophyta; Magnoliopsida; Fabales; Fabaceae.
UUGAAAGUCGUACCCUAUAGAUAACACUAACACCCGUGCUGAUUUCGUUAAUUCAUUUGGGCAGCCUCUCUGUUCCAAAACCCUAAUCCUUCGUCUUCCAAGGAGAUGGCUGAUUCUCCCCUCGCAAGGAACUCAAGGUCACCUUCCCCAUGGAAAGCUCAGUCGAGAUCGAGAUCUAGGUCAAGGUCGAGAUCUAGGUCGAGGUCUAGGCCUAGACAAAGGCCAAGAUCGCGUUCUAGAAGUCGUGGCAGGUCAAGGUCACCAAUUCGUGGAAGGUCAAGGUCACCAAUUCAUGGAAGGUCUGAACCUACAAAUCCUGGUGACACACUUUAUGUAACUGGUCUAUCUUCGAGGGUCACCGAAAGAGACCUAGAGGAGCAUUUCUCCAAGGAAGGAAAGGUUUCUUCAUGUUUUCUUGUGGUGGAGCCCCGUACACGGAUUUCUCGUGGUUUUGCUUUUGUUACAAUGGAAUCUGCUGAAGAUGCGGAGCGCUGUAUCAAGUAUCUCAAUCAAUCAGUUUUAGAGGGUCGUUACAUCACUGUUGAGCGGAAUGAAUUGCAUCAGCUAUGUUGGCAGCGAUCAGAUGAUCAGUUCAUCCAUGUGAACUUUAGUGAAACAGCUUGAUCAAUGGCAAACUUAAACAGCUAAUCAAAUGCGUCUGAUCAACUAAACAUAGCAACUAUAUUGCCCAACAACUUUACAACUUCAGCAUUCACUUUCAACUCUCUACUAAACAACGGACAUUAUCAACAACUUUCUAAUCAGGCUUUUAUGUCACGAAGAAAACGUGCAAGAACUCCAACCCCAGGGCACUAUCUUGGACUGAAAAACACAAGGGAGUAUGGCUAUCGUGGUGACCGAGGUGGUGACCGGGGAAGGUAUCGCGAUGGUCCUGACCGUGACAAUUACUCACGUCGUAGGUCUCCGAGGCGUUCACCAUACAGAGGUGGCCAAGAUUAUUCUCCCCAGCGCUCACCCUAUGGUGGAAGGUCUAGGAGGGAAAGGUCUAGGUCACUUCCUUAUUCUCCACAUGGUAGCCCAGACAGGAAGUAUGCUCGCGGAUCUAGGUGAUGUUUAUCUUAGCAUUCUACUAUUUGAACAAGGUAAGCAAAAAUUUGUUGACUAUAUGGUGCUGUGACUACCAGUUUGCGCCUAUAUACAAUGUAUACGUUUAUUGGUGGAAGCUGCUGUUCCUGUGUGACUAUCAGUGUGCCUUUUCUCGAAGUCACACAGAAAGUUAGAGUGGACAAAAGUGUGGAAAUCUGAAUUUGAAGUAUGUAAGCAUUUGCUAUAGGGAAUUGAGACUCUGGCUUAAAAAAAUUUUCUGUGUGCGUAUGCCUCAAACGUUUUUGCA